This 253-nucleotide ribosomal RNA is filed under the name uncultured bacterium. RNAcentral's name for it is "partial 16S ribosomal RNA". It matches the Rfam family "Bacterial small subunit ribosomal RNA", at positions 524 to 776 of the family's 1533-position model. The record is from RNAcentral.
UACGAAGGGGGCUAGCGUUGCUCGGAAUUCCUGGGCGUAAAGCGCACGUAGGCGGAUUGUUAAGUCGGGGGUGAAAUCCUGGAGCUCAACUCCAGAACUGCCUUCGAUACUGGCGAUCUCGAGUUCGGGAGAGGUGAGUGGAACUGCGAGUGUAGAGGUGAAAUUCGUAGAUAUUCGCAAGAACACCAGUGGCGAAGGCGGCUCACUGGCCCGAUACUGACGCUGAGGUGCGAAAGCGUGGGGAGCAAACAGG